Molecule: long non-coding RNA, 363 nt
Filed under: Suricata suricatta (meerkat)
Lineage: Eukaryota; Metazoa; Chordata; Mammalia; Carnivora; Herpestidae
Description: lncRNA (ENSSSUG00005013463.1)
Source: RNAcentral
GUUGGUGGUUUCCGUGGAUGGUGUGGAGUGUUAGCAACCCGAGAAGAAUUGAUAAGAAAUCCUUCCCUGGGUGUUUUCAGCGGAAGCAUGCGAGGCCUAACAGCCCAAGUGACGGCUCUGCUGCGCUUGCCGGAGGUGACAGUUCCAGCCUGUGCGGAGACGGCGUGAGCUCAGCAUGGGGGCUUCGUGGCAGGCUCGCUGCGGAUCUUCAUAUACAGCUUCGAUUAUGUAACAGAGCAGAAAACCGUAGCAGAGCAGCCGUUCAGUGGUGGAGUUCAGUCUGUUGAAAGAGGCUGCAGGUGAGUUUCCUGAAAGUGAACUUCCCAGGCAUCCACUCUGACGGGUAGACCACGACCCCUGUCA